AUGAGUUCCCUCCACCCCCUGCCCCGCGUUCUUAAAGGACAGCUCGUUGUGCGCUUUGGUCAGGACCGGGUGAGGCUGUGGGGACCCCACCACCCAUCCCCUGCUCCCCGUCCCGAGGCACAGGAUGGGGACAAGCGGCCCGGGGACAUUUCCAGGCUGGGCUGUGUUUUUUGGGAACCUCAGACUGAAAAGGCAAUGUGGGAAGCGGGGGCGGGCGGGGACCUGCUGGCUGCUGGCAGGGUCUCGCCUCCUCCCGGCUCCCUCCCCAAAACGCAGGCCGGGGGGCACGCAGGGUGCCACCGGUAUGGGACACCCCGUGGAGGAUGCUUCCCAGCCUCUCCCCACCUUUUUCUUCCCCAGGCAGGGGCAAAAAGCGAGGGCAGGCUGCCUGCAGGAUUAAGGACGCUGGGUAUCACGCGAAAGGCAAAGGUAGCACCAAGGAGCGCCGGGGGCUGCGGGCGGCACUGCAACGCGCCCCCAGACGCAACCCUCCGUGACGGAGGCACCCGGAACCAGCAGCAAGGGGACCCCGGGGGACCUGCUGCCCCUCGGAGGGGUUCCUCGGGUGGAGCAAACCCCCGGGGCUGCCCCCAGGAGGAAGACAAGGCGAGCCCAUCCCCAGGACUACACCACAGGCUCUGCCUCAUUGCCAUGGGGUUGGGGACACCGGGCUGCGCGAGGGGAGCCCGGCUCCCUCCUGCAGCCCUGGGGAAGGUGCGGGGAGCCACCAGGCAGCCAGAGGAGCCCCGAGAACCCGGUGAUGCUGUGACACUGCCACCCUGCCCGGCACAGCCCCCCAGCAAGCUCCCAGGCCCACACCAGGGCCAAGAAAGCCACCUGGGGAUGCUCUCAGAAAAAAAAAACACCUCCAUCCUCUCCAACCAGCAACAGCGAGGGUCCCACCACCUCCUAAUAACCACCAAAACUCUACGCGCUCGGCUCCGUAGCAGCCACCAAAGCGUCCCCAGAUGCUCUUACCGCUGCAGCAGCAGGACCCGAGCCACUUUCGGAUGGAGAUGUCCAGGCAGCCACUCCCCUCCCACGGCAUCGCGGGGACACCACCGCUGGGUGCCAUCCUCGUGGCGCAGCUCAGAGCCUUUGGGCCAACCUCGCAGGGCUCCUGCACCAAGCCCGGCCGUGGCACCGCUGCAGCUCCCGCCCACUGCGGCACCAUUCGGGCAGAGAUUUCUGCCACGGACCUCCCGGGGGACCCCCAGGGGGUUUCGUCCCACCAAGGCGCCCGGGGAAGCUGGCGCACAGCUGUCCUUUAAGGCUCUCCGAGUACCACACCGGAGAUGUAAACCACUGAAGUCUUUUUUUGUUUGUUUUCUUUUGGACAAGAAAGUGACAAAUUAA
RNAcentral lists this long non-coding RNA (1356 nucleotides) under Anser cygnoides (Swan goose). RNAcentral's name for it is "lncRNA (ENSACDG00005016969.1)". The record is from RNAcentral. Lineage: Eukaryota; Metazoa; Chordata; Aves; Anseriformes; Anatidae.